Sapajus apella (tufted capuchin) is the source of this 4492-nucleotide long non-coding RNA. RefSeq lists it as uncharacterized. NCBI's taxonomy places the organism in Eukaryota, Metazoa, Chordata, Mammalia, Primates, Cebidae. The record is from RefSeq and is a predicted model, not a curated record. The transcript is spliced from 6 exons.
UUGUGCCAUUUUACUCCAGCCUGGUUGACAAGAGUAAAACUCCAUCUCAAAUAAUAAUAAUAAUAAAAUAAAAUGGAUUUUUGUAUUGGUAUUGUGCUUGUAAGUUUACCUAAUUUGUUUACUAUCUCUAAUAAUUUUUUAAACAUUCCUUAGGAAUUUCUAUGUAUAAGAUCAGGUGAUAAUUGGUCCUUGAAUAUUUUAUUUUCUUGCAUAAUUGCCCUACCUGUAUCUUCCAAUAUACUUUUGAAUACAAGAGUGAAAGUAGGUAUCCGUGCCUUGUUAUUCUAUUAGGAAUAAACCUUUCAGUGAUGACAAUUGAGUAUGUUUACUGUUGGUUUUACAAAAUUGCUUUUUAUCAUGUUUAAGAAAUUUCCUUCUAUUUCUAGGUUUGUGAGUGUUUUUUUUAUCAUGACAUGAUGUUGAACUUUGUUGGAAGCCCUUUCUGCAUCAGUUGAGAGAAUUAUGGAGUAUUUUCCUUUCAUUCUAAUAAUACAGUGUGCUACAUGGAUGACAUUAGUGUGUGGAACCAGUGUUGAAUUUCUGGGAUAAAGAAAUCAUGUUUAUGGUGUUUGAUCCUUUCCAAAUGCUGUUGGUUUAAAUUUACUAUUAUUUUGUUGAGGAUUACUAAGUCUGCAUUUCCAAGGUUAUAGAUCUGUAGAUUUCAGUCCUCGAAAUGGAGUGACACUGUGUAGGAUGGAUCAGGAUGGGAUUGGGUAUAGAUUGCGAUUAGUAUUUACAGAGUUAGUAUGUGAGGGUAUUACAAAUCAGGACAUAGGGCUUUACAGGCUGAGUUUACCAGUUAAAGAUUAGUGUACAAGGGCUCCAAGAUAGGAGGUUCAGGUUGGUGGUUGAGAGCUCCAUAGUAGAGAUUAGAGGGAGAGAUUAGGCUAAUAUGGUUAUUUUGACAGGUCAGAAUUACAGUGAAGAUUUAGGGUGAAAGUUUUAGUGAGAUUUUGGAUUAGGGUUAUAUACAGGUUAGAGUAGGUUUAGCUUAAGGUAAGGAUUAGAGUGAGUAAAAGUAACAUUAGGGUUCAUGGUUGAGGGUUAAGCUUAGGUUAGAUUUAGAGUUAAGGGUAAUUGGAGUAAGGUUAGGGUUAGGGAUUAGGAUUAAGGGUUAGUGUUAAGGUUUACAGUUUAGGGUAGGAAUUAGGAUUAGGGUUUAGGGCAGUGGUUAGGGUAAGGAUUACAGUUUUAGGGUUAGUGUUAGGGUUGUUAGGGUUAGGUUUAGAAAUAGGGUUUGGGGUUAAAUUUAGGGGUUAAAGUUAGGAUUAUGGUUGGGGAUAGGGUUGGGGUUGGUUUAGGGUUAGGUGUUAGGGUUGGGCUUAGGGCUUAGGGUUAGGGUUAGUGUGAGGGUUAGGGUUAGGAUUAGGACCAGAGUUAGGGUUAGAGUUAGGCCUACAGCAAGGCUUAGCAUUAGGGUUAGGGUUAGGGCUAUGUUUAAGGUUAGAGUUUAGGGGUUAGGGUUAGAGGGUCAGGGUUGGAGUCAAUGUUAGGGUUAGUGUUUAGGGCAGGGUUAGGCUUAGGGUUCAUGGUUAGUCUUAAAGUUAGGGACUAGAGUUAGGGUUAGUGUUAGGGAUGUGAGACCUGAAGUCAAAGGAGAUUAUUUUGAAACUUUAUAAUUUGACUGCCCUAUUGGAUUUCUGUCUUGGAUAGUUCCUGUAACCCUUUUAUUUUUCACAUUUGGAACACCUUUAUUUUCCCAAUGCCUAUAUCCCCAUUGUAUCUAGGAAGUAGCUAGCUUGCUUUUGAGUUUACUGCUUCAUAGAUGGAAGAGGCUUGCCUUUUUACAGAUGAAACUAUAGACUGUGGACUUUUAAGUUAAUGUUGAAAUUAGACUUGUGGGACUGUUGGGAAGGCAUGAUUGGUUUUGAAAUGUGAGGACAUAGGAUUUGAGGGGUCAAAGUUAAAGAAUCAUAGGAAUGUUGCUAAACAUAAAAAUUUUGCAAACUCAAUUUUUACAAUGAAACAAAUACAUUCUAUCAUCUUUUAUGUAUAAUAUGUUUUAAUUUUUUUUAACCCAAUGAAAUGUCAGUUUUGUGAUUUUGAUCUUACUAUAGCAAUUGUUUUGUAAACAAAGAAAAAUAAUUCAGGAUUGCAGAGAUGGUAAACUAUUAAAAAUAGUUUGGGUAUUAAAUUAUGAAAUAAUUGUGUAUUAAAUAAUGCUAAAUUCAACAGUUGUGAUUGAACAGAUCUGUAGGCAUAUUUAAGUGUUGAGGUGAAAGUGACAACCAAAGCAGUUAUGUCUAACAUUUAUGUCUGGAGGUAAUCCAUAGAGGAACUGGCUGUGGACCUUCAUCUCUGCGUCACCUUUGUUUUGUGCAGUAGCUGAGUAUCAAAAACAAAACAAAACAAAAUCAACACUUGUUCCUCAAAAAGAGAGAAAGAAUAUUUCCUUCAAUUUAAGCAUUCUUAAAUUUCUGGUGGCCCAUGCGCUCUUGGAGGAGGCCAAGGCAGAGCCCACCCUUAGGUGGGCAGGCAAUGCACUUGACCCUGAGGACAUCAGGUACCCGGCUCUCCAUCCACCACUGGUGCCCGAGUCACCCCUGCAGCCUAGAUGUGGCAUGGGAGCAGCAAGUGGCUGGACAUCCCAGUCCAGGCCCACACCCCGAGCAGCAGGAGUCCUGAGGCUGAGCACCCAGGUGGCAAAGUCAGGCUGUCAGCCCCGCCAGCAGCCGCUCAGUCUCAUGGGUGUGGAUGCAGAGUGCCCUGCACAGGGGCCCAGGAUCCAGAGAGGUGUCCAAGAGGAGCAGACCCUCAGGCCAGAUGGCCUGUGCACUCAGCGACCCUGACGCCACCCAAGGGAAGCUCUGCCAUCCCGUACCAGUACCAGAGCUGCACCUGCAAACUGUGCAUCUGGCGUGGGUAGCAAUGGGGGCCGGUGGGGGAAGGAGCAACCCCUGACUUUCCAUGUGUCUCCCACUACUUGACACCCGCCAGGUACAUCCCGGGGCCAGAGUCUCAGCGCUGAAGCCAGGCAAUCUGCAAAGACACUCCAGUGCUGCGGAGUGCCCAUGCCAGACCCGAUCUCCCUUUGAGGAGGCAUGGGGCAGCCACAGGGUGCAAUCCGCGUCCUCCUACAUUAUAUGAGAUAUAUGUAAGGAUUGAUAAUGUUCCAUCAGGAACUCAUGUUUGUGAUAUAAAAUGCGCGGCUGUGAUCCUGCACCCGUGGUCCUCCGGCAGCCGGGGCACUCCAGGAGAACCUGGAGCCCCGCGAUGCCUGCCCCGAGCGUCAGUCCCAUCUGCCUACGCGUGCCUGGGAGCGGCUUCCGGGAGCUGGGCGGCCGCCGUGGGGCAGGCGUGCGCCUAACGGCUUUGCGGGGCCGACUCAGUCUGAGACGUUAGAGGCUGCAAGUGUUGCUGCUGAAGGCUGUGGUGGACCACGCUGGAUCGCGGAUUCUGGGCUAGAAAGCCGAUUUAGGAUCACAGAUUGGGGGUUGGAGCCAGGUGGGGGUUGGCGCCAGGUGGGGGUGGGAGGAGCACAGGGUGGCUGGUUGUUGGGGAUCUGAGAAGUCACCACUAUGAAGAAGUUCCUCGGCCUCGGGAGCCAGAGGCCAAGACAGAGCAGAACCUCAGGUCCUGGGCUCCAUAGACCCCUUUACGCUGCUUCCGGGCACCGAAUCCAGGAUGUGGAACCGGAAGCUCCACAAGGCAGCUGUCAGGGGCGACGCCGCAGAGGUUGAACUGCCUGGCGCGCAGGAGCGGAGACCUGGACGCCCGGGACAAGCCACACAGUGUGUCCUUCAGAAACUGUCAGAGCCUUUACCUGGACCUGAAAAUGGAAAAACAAAACAAAACAAAAAACACGGUAUAGUCAAUGUAAAAGAAGGGCCUCCUGAAUAAUAUCCUUCCUUGAAGAUUGUAGGAGUUCUGAUCAACCUGCAGUCAGCAUUUUCCAGUAACUGUGUAUGGAUUCAUGCCCUAAACCAGACGAUGAAAACUUGACUUACUACCAAGGUUACAGUCUCCUAUUACCCCAAAAUGAAAUCUCAAAUGUCCUCCAUUCUGCAUAAAACCCAUGCUGGCCCCUCAGUGGAAAACAUCAACCAUGAAUUAUGGGUCGCUUCACUUUACCUUCACGCCACCAAUUUCUGUUGCACUGACUGUGCUUAUUACCAUGUAUGUCUAGCAUUAGACUGGACUCCUAGGGAAGAAUAACUCACAUUCAUUUCUCGGUCCCGAGGGCAAAACUCCAAAGUGUAAUUAAGGAAAGAAAUAACUCCAAUUCUUUCAAGUUCUGAAUUUGUUUUCCUCUCAAAAAUGGCAGUGUGUAUUCAAGCUCUGCUUAUUUUCCUGAUCCAGUUCUCCACCUUUGGGGGAUCUUACAAAAUAGGCCAGGAAGGCAAAAAUGUCUAGAGAUUACUCCCACAUGGUAAUCUUUGCAAAUAAAACUCUUAGACUUAACUUUAUACUAAUAAAAGUUUCAUAAUUUUUUUUUUUUUUUUUUUGAGACAGGGUCUUGCUCUGUCACCCAGGCUGGAGUACAAUUACAGCU